UAAUAAAAAAUUAAUUGAAAAUAAUAAGAAAGAUAAAAUUAUUCUAUUAUAAAUAAAUUUAUUUAGAUUGAAUUUAAGUAUUUAUUAAAGAAAAAAUAAGAUAGAUUAUAGGGAAUAGUACUGUAAAGGAAAAUUGAAAAUUUUAAAUAUUGAAUUAAGAGUAAGUAAAAUUAAUUUUUUGUACCUUUUGUAUCAGGGUUGAUUAAAAUUAAGUAGUAAAUAAUAUAUUUUCGAAGAAUGAAGAUCUAACUUUAUACCCUAUUUAAUGUGAUAUUAUUAUUAGAAAUAUAAAGUUAGAUAUGAUAUGUUAGUCAAUUUAUUUUAUAUCUAAUUCUUAAAGAAAAAAAUUUAAUUUUGAUAUUAUGGAUUUAAUGUAAAAUUUUUUAUGUUUUAUUAAAAUUGUAAUAUAAAGAAUUUAUGGGAUAAGCUAUAAAUUUAAUUUAAAAAUUAACUAAGGGAAUUUUGUUAGUUAUAGAUUUUAAAAUUGUCAUUAAUUAAAAGUUUAUAAUAAUUUAUAAUAUAAAUGAAUUUUUAAGAUUUAAUAGAGUUUUAAUUUUUUAUUUAAGUAAUCUAUUUAAUAAAAUUAUAGGGACGAUAAUGAUUAAAUUAGUAAAGUUAAAUUUUUAAGUUUUUAGAAUAAGCAAUUUACUUUAAGUAAUUAGGCAAAUUUGAUGUCCGCCUGUUUAAUAAAAACAUGUCUUUUUGAUAAAAAUUAAAAGUCUAAUCUGCCCAUUGAUAAAUUUAAAAGGCUGCAGUAAAUUAACUGCACAAAGGUAGCAUAAUCAAUAGUUUUUUAAUUGAAAGCUUGUAUGAAGGAUUGAACGAGAUAUCAACUUUCUAAAAGUAAUUGGAGGUUGAAUUUAAUUUUUAGAUUAAAAAGUCUAAAUUAAAUUAAAAGACGAUAAGACCCUAUAGAAUUUAAUAAUUAUGUUUAUUUAAUAAUGUGAUAUAGUUUAGAUAAAUUAAUCUAAUUAUUUUAUUGGGGAGAUAUUAAGAUUAAAAUAACUCUUAAUUUUUUUAAUCAAUAAUUUUUGAUUGAAGUGUGAUCCUGUCUUACAGAAUAAAGAACAAAUUACCUUAGGGAUAACAGCGUAAUUCUUUUUGAAAGUUCAUAUUAAUAAAAGAGUUUGCGACCUCGAUGUUGAAUUAAGAUGAAUUUAUGGUGUAGAAGCUUUAAAAUUUAGACUGUUCGUCUAUUAAAAUCUUACAUGAUUUGAGUUUAGAUCGGUGUGAGCCAGAUCGGAUUCUAUCUUUAAUUAAAAUAAGAUUUUAUUGUACGAAAGGACCUAAAAUCAUACAUAAUGUAUAUAUAAAUUGAAUAAUAUUAAUUAUAAUU
RNAcentral lists this ribosomal RNA (1336 nucleotides) under Orussus occidentalis. Its description in RNAcentral is "16S ribosomal RNA". The stretch from base 1083 to 1241 matches the Rfam family "Archaeal large subunit ribosomal RNA", at positions 2542 to 2701 of the family's 2987-position model. Lineage: Eukaryota; Metazoa; Arthropoda; Insecta; Hymenoptera; Orussidae. The record is from RNAcentral.